Molecule: microRNA, 20 nt
Filed under: Gallus gallus (chicken)
Lineage: Eukaryota; Metazoa; Chordata; Aves; Galliformes; Phasianidae
Description: gga-miR-1814
Source: miRBase by way of RNAcentral
AGGUUGUUUGGUUUUGUUUU